Molecule: ribosomal RNA, 428 nt
Filed under: uncultured bacterium
Lineage: Bacteria
Description: bacterial SSU rRNA
Rfam family: Bacterial small subunit ribosomal RNA
Source: RNAcentral
UAGGGAAUUUUCGGCAAUGGGGGGAACCCUGACCGAGCAAUGCCGCGUGAAUGAAGACGAUCUUCGGAUUGUAAAGUUCUGUUAUUGGGAAAGAAAGAUAUGGCGAGGAAAUGCGUUAUAUUUGACGGUACCUGAUGAGAAAGCCCCGGCUAACUAUGUGCCAGCAGCCGCGGUAAUACAUAGGGGGCAAGCGUUAUCCGGAAUUAUUGGGCGUAAAGAGUGCGUAGGCGGAUGAUUAAGUCUGGUGUAAAAUUUCACAGCUUAACUGUGGAGGGUCAUUGGAAACUGGUCAACUAGGGUACGGUAGAGGUAAGCGGAAUUCCAAGUGGAGCGGUAAAAUGCGUAGUUAUUUGGAGGAACACCAGUGGCGAAGGCGACUUACUGGUCCGGGACUGACGCUGAUGCACGAAAGCGUGGGGAGCAAACAG